GCAAGUCGAACGGUAACAUGAAGUGCUUGCACUUUGAUGACGCGUGGCGCACGGGUGCGUAACGCGUAUACAAUCUACCUUUUACAGAGGGAUAGCCCAGAGAAAUUUGGAUUAACACCUCAUGGUAUCCAGACCUCGCAUGAGCGUCUGGAUUAAAACUCCGGUGGUAAGAGAUGAGUAUGCGUUCUAUUAGCUAGUAGGUAGGGUAACGGCUUACCUAGGCCACUAUAGAUAGGGGCCCUGAGAGGGGGAUC
RNAcentral lists this ribosomal RNA (254 nucleotides) under uncultured bacterium. Its description in RNAcentral is "partial 16S ribosomal RNA". It matches the Rfam family "Bacterial small subunit ribosomal RNA", at positions 57 to 305 of the family's 1533-position model. The record is from RNAcentral.